Molecule: ribosomal RNA, 632 nt
Filed under: Mycobacterium sp. Se1Pw_3183
Lineage: Bacteria; Bacillati; Actinomycetota; Actinomycetes; Mycobacteriales; Mycobacteriaceae
Description: bacterial SSU rRNA
Rfam family: Bacterial small subunit ribosomal RNA
Source: RNAcentral
GCCUGAUGCAGCGACGCCGCGUGAGGGAUGACGGCCUUCGGGUUGUAAACCUCUUUCAAUAGGGACGAAGCGCAAGUGACGGUACCUAUAGAAGAAGCACCGGCCAACUACGUGCCAGCAGCCGCGGUAAUACGUAGGGUGCGAGCGUUGUCCGGAAUUACUGGGCGUAAAGAGCUCGUAGGUGGUUUGUCGCGUUGUUCGUGAAAACUCACAGCUCAACUGUGGGCGUGCGGGCGAUACGGGCAGACUGGAGUACUGCAGGGGAGACUGGAAUUCCUGGUGUAGCGGUGGAAUGCGCAGAUAUCAGGAGGAACACCGGUGGCGAAGGCGGGUCUCUGGGCAGUAACUGACGCUGAGGAGCGAAAGCGUGGGGAGCGAACAGGAUUAGAUACCCUGGUAGUCCACGCCGUAAACGGUGGGUACUAGGUGUGGGUUUCCUUCCUUGGGAUCCGUGCCGUAGCUAACGCAUUAAGUACCCCGCCUGGGGAGUACGGCCGCAAGGCUAAAACUCAAAGAAAUUGACGGGGGCCCGCACAAGCGGCGGAGCAUGUGGAUUAAUUCGAUGCAACGCGAAGAACCUUACCUGGGUUUGACAUGCACAGGACGUGCCUAGAGAUAGGUAUUCCCUUGUG